ACACAGCCUUUCCAACCAGUAAACAACUUCCGGUUCAAUAUGGCGGCGCACGGAGAACGGACUAAUCAUCUGAAGGAUUGUUUACUUCAGCAGGAACACUUCAACUGAAAAAGUUUGGCAACUUUGUACUAAACUUUGAGGACAAGGACGUGACCAUGGACAGUGUUGCAGGUGGAAGAAAGCAUAUGCCACUGCCUCACUGUCACCCCUCUUCAAGAUGUGCUCUGGAGGCAGGAUCAGGCUCUUCAUCUCCAACAAGUACUGCACAGAGGAAGAGGAAGAAACACAAAAUCUCUGGACAGUGGACUUAAUUGGAAACUAGGGAGAGAGGCAUUGGGGAAUGAGCUGAGGAAUGGAGCAACAGCCAGAUUUCAACCCAGGGCCGCCUUCUUAGAGGGCAUCAGCCUCUGCACAUAACCUUGCGAAGCUGAUGUGUUGGAUUCAUCAGGCAGAGCCAUCUUGCAAUGCUUCAGCCUGGAACAUUUGUGCCUGGUCUGAGAAUGAAUAGACUAACCAGCAUCAUUUGAGGAGACUGAGUUUGUGGCUGCAGGCGUGGUUUAGUUGAACUGCAAGUCUGUAAACAAUGGCAACAAGUGGCAGUUUUAUCAGAACUGAACAAUAUAUUGUAUAGAAGAGAAGCAAAGAGCCAGACUGAAAGCUUUUCUUGGCAGAGUUUAAUUUACUAACUGGCUCCACUUACAGUGAACAAUGAUAACUGCUGCCUGUCCAGCUUGCUUUGUGUCAUUUACUUCACACAUCCACUUCAUCAUAUAUUUUGUUGCUCUAAUUUGACAAACAGAACAUCCAUCUUGUUUUCUUCUAAGGUAUUUUGUUCUAUGGCUGCACCCCCCAAGCACCAUCUGGGAUGUUGGGAUAUCUCUUUGAGUCCCUUUAAAAACAUAUCGUUCACUGGAGGGCUUUUACUGAUGUUAUAUAGGAGUUGAAUACAAUGAGUCUUUAAAGUAUCUGUUUUACUUACUUUUUGUAUUUUACUGGGUUUUAUGCACCAAGCCGGUGCAUAAACAAAAUUUGCCCCAUGGAAUUUGCUGAUUUCAAUCUAAAGCAUUUUGUAAUGUCUGUUUUGAAAAGUGCAUUAAAAAUAAAGAGUUAUUAUUAUUUAUUUAUUAUAUAUAUGAUGGAUAUGUGAUGUGAAACAAUCAAUCUGACACAUCAGGUCACUCUGUACAUAACCACAAGGCUACAUGUGCUCAAAAUGAACAUUUGUAUUGCUUUACAUGGACUGUAAUUGAAUGCAAGGACAUUUCCCACUUAUCAUUCUGCAGCC
Molecule: long non-coding RNA, 1285 nt
Organism: Cheilinus undulatus (humphead wrasse)
Lineage: Eukaryota; Metazoa; Chordata; Actinopteri; Labriformes; Labridae
Exons: 3
Source: RefSeq, a predicted model, not a curated record